UGCAUUGGCUGUUCCCUCUUCCCCAUACCCUUCCUCUGGUAGCUGCAAGUCUCUCUCCUUCCUUCCUGAGGGUCCGUAUUGCAACGUUGCCUUCUUAGCCAGGCUUUCCAUAGACACUUGAUCUUAAGCUCCCCUGCUCCCACCCCUACCGGGAACCUUCAUAGCCCUCGUCCUGCUUCAUAUCUUCUCCUCAGCAAUUACCACUAUCUAACCUACUGGCUGUUUUACUUAUUUAUCUUAUUUAUUGUCUUUCCUCGCUAGACUAUCAACUUCGUGAAGGCAGGAAUUUGUUUUUGUUUUUCGGCUUGCUUUCCUCUUCUGCAUUCCAGUGCCCUGGCACCUGGGAGGCCUUUAAUCAAAAUUUGAUUAGUGAAUGAAUGAGUGAAUGGGUAUUUGACUCAUAGCAGGUGCUAAAUGAAUAUUGGCUCACACGUUCCUAAGCUGGAGGCCUUUCUGUUGCAGCAGGCUGCUGCCCUGGGGCAUCUGUAACUAGUUUGUCCAAGCUCAUAGGCCCUCUCCACUGCUCUAUUACCAUCUCCUCCACCCAGGGAAACAGGCAGUGCAGCCUGUGGCUGCAGAGCUACAGCUGCAGGGAGACCCCUCCCUGGGCUGCAGGCCUAGGGCAGUGCUGGUGGUAGAGACAGAGGCUCACAUGGCUGCAGAGGGCACCCAAAGCCUGGCAAAGAGCAGAGCACUCACUGAAGCUUGGAGGUUCAGGUCCUGCUUCCCAAAGUUUGCUUGGAAUCUGAGCAAGAAAAAGAACAGAUGGAAUUUGUUUUUGGAAAGGAGAGGAGCAUGGAAUUCGAGAAUCUAGAAUUAGGGGGCAGGCAUCAUGACCUUUUAGUAUUUUUAGCUCGGAUUAACAUGAUGAAUGAAUUUCUUCCAAUUCAAUCCACAAGACUGAUUCCACCUGAAGGCCAUAGAGCGAGGACAAGGAAUCCGUGGAAGAACAGGCUGCUCUCCUUAACUCAAUCUUAUCAUUCAAUUAUCAGCUUGAAAGUUGCCUUCUCAGACAAGGAUGCCAGAUUCCCCUCUGAAAGAUGGGCUAGUUUCUCUUGAAAGGAACUUCUUGCUGCCUGUAGGGCAGAGGGAAUCCUUAGGAGAUGGGUGGGAACACUUCCUUCUUUAUUUCACAAGGAUUUCUUGAGAACCUAUGAUGUUCCAGGCUCUGUUUCAAGCACUCGCAAUAAAGAUUUGACAAAAUCAACAAGGUCCUGCCUUCAUGAAGCUGACAUCCUAGUGAGCGUGCUACACAGCAGCAGUAAACAUAACAGUGAAUGACAGCAUCAGGAAGUCAUGAGUGGCAGGUCAUCUUCCUGCCCCUUCUCUGCAUGCACCAAUCCACCAGCAGGUCCGCAAUUUCUGGUAUUAGCCCAAUUUGUGACUGAGGAUUCUCACCUAUGGAUAGACUUCUCCAUGUUCACGUGCUAUCAGGUCCUGGGCUGGGACUUGAACUCAUGCAUUUCUGAGCUCAAAGCACAACCGUCUGCAACAUUCUUCUGCCUCCGAGAGACAAUGUUGUGCUGGUCUUCAUGCUUUGUGAACUCAGAGCCUGAGUUGAAUCCAGAGUCAGCAAACCACCUCCCACAGGAAAAUCUUACCAGCUGCUUGUUGUGUAUGGCCCGUGAGUUGUAGAUCCUUCUGGUUGUGCUACGUGGGACGCCACCUCAGGAUGGCCUGAUGAGUGGUGGUGUGUCUGUGCCCAGGAUCCGAACCAGCAAAACCCUGGGCUGCCAAAGCAGAGUGCGUGAACUUAACCACUCGGCCACAGGGCUGGUCCCUGGUUUUCACAGUGUUAAGUGGUUGAAAAACACAAAACAAAAGCAGCAUGCUAUUUUAUGACGUGAAAAUUAUAUAAAAUUCAAAUUUCAGUGUCAAUAAAUAAAGUUUCAUUGG
This is a long non-coding RNA of Equus caballus (horse), 1896 nucleotides long. Lineage: Eukaryota; Metazoa; Chordata; Mammalia; Perissodactyla; Equidae. The record is from Ensembl.